AUACUAGUUGCUCAUGGCCAUUUUCGUGCCCAUGGCCUAGGAUAGUGACUUCCAUUGCACUUGGGAGGGCUACUUUUCCAAAAUCUCUACAGUGGGAGAGCUUACGUCAUAAUUUGUGGUAGUAUGCCUAAUUAUAGUGUUAGGCUUU
This 148-nucleotide small nuclear RNA is filed under the name Theobroma cacao (cacao). Its description in RNAcentral is "snRNA U1". It matches the Rfam family "U1 spliceosomal RNA". Rfam says of the family: U1 is a small nuclear RNA (snRNA) component of the spliceosome (involved in pre-mRNA splicing). Its 5' end forms complementary base pairs with the 5' splice junction, thus defining the 5' donor site of an intron. Lineage: Eukaryota; Viridiplantae; Streptophyta; Magnoliopsida; Malvales; Malvaceae. The record is from RNAcentral.